GACGAACGCUGGCGGCGUGCUUAACACAUGCAAGUCGAACGGAAAGGCCCUGCUUUUGUGGGGUGCUCGAGUGGCGAACGGGUGAGUAACACGUGAGUAACCUGCCCUUGACUUUGGGAUAACUUCAGGAAACUGGGGCUAAUACCGGAUAGGAGCUCCUGCUGCAUGGUGGGGGUUGGAAAGUUUCGGCGGUUGGGGAUGGACUCGCGGCUUAUCAGCUUGUUGGUGGGGUAGUGGCUUACCAAGGCUUUGACGGGUAGCCGGCCUGAGAGGGUGACCGGCCACAUUGGGACUGAGAUACGGCCCAGACUCCUACGGGAGGCAGCAGUGGGGAAUAUUGCACAAUGGGCGGAAGCCUGAUGCAGCCACGCCGCGUGCGGGAUGACGGCCUUCGGGUUGUAAACCGCUUUCGCCUGUGACGAAGCGUGAGUGACGGUAAUGGGUAAAGAAGCACCGGCUAACUCCGUG
Molecule: ribosomal RNA, 468 nt
Filed under: uncultured bacterium
Lineage: Bacteria
Description: partial 16S ribosomal RNA
Rfam family: Bacterial small subunit ribosomal RNA
Source: RNAcentral